GGGCCGCGAUUCCGUAGGCUGGUNNAGAAGGAAUGUUCANNACCUUCGGANCUGAGACCCGCCNNAACUCUCUACGGAGGGCAGCAGNGGGAUNUGACAAUGGGCGAAAGCUGAUCCAGCCAUGCCGCGUGUGUGAAGAAGCCCUCGGGUGUAAAGCACUUCAGUGNGAAGAACGCUGUGGGGUAAUACNNGCAAGGAAGACAUCACUCACAGAAGAAGCACCGGCUAACUCCGUGCCCAGCAGCCGCGGUAAUACGGAGGGUGCGAGCGUUAAUCGGAAUUACUGGGCGUAAAGCGCGCGUAGGCGGCUUGAUAAGCCCGGUUGUGAAAGCCCCGGGCUCAACCUGGGAACGGCAUCCGGAACUGUCAGGCUAGAGUGCAGGAGAGGAAGGUAGAAUUCCCGGUGUAGCGGUGAAAUGCGUAGAGAUCGGGAGGAAUACCAGUGGCGAAGGCGGCCUUCUGGACUGACACUGACGCUGAGGUGCGAAAGCGUGGGUAGCAAACAGGAUUAGAUACCCUGGUAGUCCACGCCGUAAACGAUGUCGACUAGCCGUUGGGGUCCUCGAGACCUUUGUGGCGCAGUUAACGCGAUAAGUCGACCGCCUGGGGAGUACGGCCGCAAGGUUAAAACUCAAAUGAAUUGACGGGGGCCCGCACAAGCGGUGGAGCAUGUGGUUUAAUUCGAUGCAACGCGAAGAACCUUACCUACUCUUGACAUCGAGCGAACUUUCCAGAGAUGGAUUGGUGCCUUCGGGAACGCUCAGACAGGUGCUGCAUGGCCGUCGUCAGCUCGUGUUGUGAAAUGUUGGGUUAAGUCCCGUAACGAGCGCAACCCUUGUCCCUAUUUGCCAGCGAUUCGGUCGGGAACUCUAGGGAGACUGCCGGUGACAAACCGGAGGAAGGUGGGGACGACGUCAGGUCAUCAUGGCCCUUACGAGUAGGGCUACACACGUGCUACAAUGGCCGGUACAGAGGGUGGCAAUACCGCGAGGUGGAGCUAAUCUCAUAAAGCCGGUCUCAGUCCGGAUCGGAGUCUGCAACUCGACUCCGUGAAGUCGGAAUCGCUAGUAAUCGUGAAUCAGAAUGUCACGGUGAAUACGUUCCCGGGCCUUGUACACACCGCCCGUCACACCUUGGGAGUGGACUGCACCAGAAG
Molecule: ribosomal RNA, 1156 nt
Rfam family: Bacterial small subunit ribosomal RNA